Paramuricea clavata is the source of this 303-nucleotide non-coding RNA. NCBI's taxonomy places the organism in Eukaryota, Metazoa, Cnidaria, Anthozoa, Malacalcyonacea, Plexauridae. The record is from the annotation of a GenBank genome assembly.
CCAGGUUCGAGGCCUUUGGAACACCACAGCGUAUUUCUGUUGCACCUGACACAGUAAUAUUUAUUCUGCAAAUUUGUUUUCUUUCUCGGACCCAGGCCCACAACGUUCAAGUUUAGAUAAAAGUAUACUAUGAUCGACUGUGUCAAAUGCUUUAAGAUCUAGGAAUACUACCCCACUAAUCAAACCUUUAUCCAUGUUGGCUCCAUGUUGUUUUUAUGUCUAUGAGUACUGACUGCCAUAUUCAAUAUUAGAGAGUUUAAGAUCUACCACGCUGCCGGCUCAACAACGCGGUAAAGAAAUUUG